UGAAGCUUCUCACAUCGUUGUUGGGGAUGUU
RNAcentral lists this non-coding RNA (31 nucleotides) under Homo sapiens (human). The record is from RNAcentral. Lineage: Eukaryota; Metazoa; Chordata; Mammalia; Primates; Hominidae.